RNAcentral lists this small nuclear RNA (228 nucleotides) under Prolemur simus (greater bamboo lemur). RNAcentral's name for it is "7SK RNA (ENSPSMG00000011982.1)". It matches the Rfam family "7SK RNA". Rfam says of the family: 7SK was discovered as an abundant small nuclear RNA in the mid-70s but a possible function has only recently been suggested. Two independent studies have found that 7SK RNA binds the CDK9/cyclin T complex (known as elongation factor P-TEFb). Lineage: Eukaryota; Metazoa; Chordata; Mammalia; Primates; Lemuridae. The record is from Rfam by way of RNAcentral.
GGGUGAUCUGGCUGUGACACGUGUCACACCAUUGAUCACCAGGGUUGAUUUGGCUGAUCUGGGUUGAAGAGGACGAACUUCCCCCGAUAGAGGAGGACCAUUCCUCCAUCAAGGGUAUACGAGUAGCUGCACCCCCCUGCUAGAACCUCCAAACAAGCUCUCAAAUUCUUGUUUUUAUUGAAUAAAAUCAGUUUAAAAUAAAAGAGACUUAUUUGAGAAAAUUACCUC